AGCUAAAUCUGAAGUAUAGAGAAGGCAAAAAUCUUCCAUUUCUUACCAAGUCAGGAUAAAAAACAACGGGUCCUGAUUUUGACAUGCUCAGCACUGAAGCCCAUGGAUGUCCAAGUAAGAAGGAUGGAUAAUGAAUGACAGAAUCGACUGUGCAGAGACAGUGUGGGAUGACUAACGAGGUUUCCCUCACAAUACAAGCUGCUCCUGGGCCCAGCUGCUCAGACUGCACGAUGCAGCUCUCCCAGACACCCAAGGGGACUUAAGCAUCAUGAUGAGGAGCUCCAGAGGAAAGUUAUUUCUUGGCUGUGAUAUUGAAAAAAAAAAUAACUGAGCAGAAAGGGAACUUGAAUUAAGCAUUUCAUGAAAAUGAGAAUACUGCAUGUGGAUCAUUCAACCACAACGUCCUCAUGGCCCAUCUCAAAGCCCGGAAGCUCACCUCAUCUUAGCCAAGCCCUGCCCCAGGGCCUGUGGCUCUCAGAGUCCCUGAGUCCAACACUGCAGAGGCAGGGCACGUCCAGGACACUGCUGCGCACCAGAUGAUCUCGAGCCCACCAGUGGGUCCUGCUGUGCUUCUCCCGUGUUCCUGGGCACAUCUGUCAGAACCCCAGCAUGGCCCCACUGUCCCAAGCCCACAGUGACUCUGCAAUCUUACCAGCCCAGGGGUGGCUGAGAUGGCAAGAAUGUAGGGUUUUCACAGAAAGUACAGGAU
Symphalangus syndactylus (siamang) is the source of this 709-nucleotide long non-coding RNA. RefSeq lists it as uncharacterized. NCBI's taxonomy places the organism in Eukaryota, Metazoa, Chordata, Mammalia, Primates, Hylobatidae. The record is from RefSeq and is a predicted model, not a curated record.